GGUAGUCCAUGCCGUAAACGUUGGGAACUAGGUGUGGGUCUCAUUCCACGAGAUCCGUGCCGCAGCUAACGCAUUAAGUUCCCCGCCUGGGGAGUACGGCCGCAAGGCUAAAACUCAAAGGAAUUGACGGGGGCCCGCACAAGCGGCGGAGCAUGCGGAUUAAUUCGAUGCAACGCGAAGAACCUUACCAAGGCUUGACAUAUACCGGAACACUCAGAGAUGGGUGCCCCGCAAGGUCGGUAUACAGGUGGUGCAUGGUUGUCGUCAGCUCGUGUCGUGAGAUGUUGGGUUAAG
This 294-nucleotide ribosomal RNA is filed under the name uncultured bacterium. Its description in RNAcentral is "partial 16S ribosomal RNA". It matches the Rfam family "Bacterial small subunit ribosomal RNA", at positions 789 to 1084 of the family's 1533-position model. The record is from RNAcentral.